AAUGCUGAAAAGUCCAUUGCUGUUAGAGAUUAUUGAAGGACUACGAACUAAGAAAAAAAAAAGUAAAUUUUGAAGAACCUUAGAAUGAGCUGAGACUAUGCAGCAAAAUAAUGUUGGGACCAAAUUAAUUGGGUAAUGUUGGUGUUGGGGCUUUAGUGGGGCGGGUGCUACUUGGUUGCUGUCUCUGAGGCAUAGGAAAUUGCAAAGCGGGAAUUCUGAGGGGCAAAGGCAAAGCGGUUAAUAAUGGUGGCCAAGCAAAUUAGGAAAGAGCUUUCUCAUAUGCUUCCAGUUAGGGAAGCGUAUCAAGUUGCGCUUAACUCCUGAGGAUGACCAUGCUUUCCUAGCUCCACCUCACCACUUCAUAUUUUCAGGAUGACAAGAGCCAAAACAUCACCAAAUGAGGAUGACCAUGAUUGCGAUGGUGAAGAUCCUGAAGAAGGCAUCAUUUAUGUGGACUAGAUGCCUCCCUCUGUAUCAGUAUCACUAUUCUGCCUCUUUCAUAUUGACAAACCUUUCAGUGUUGAUAGUGAUUGCAAACACUUCACUAAAAUGCAUGCUGGAAAGAUGCUGUUCUAGUCUUGUAGUUGUGACAACAUUAUCUGAACACAAAAGACCUUGCGUUGUCUACCCCCAAGUGAUGUAGACCAAUUUUUGGGUUUUCUCUCCUUAAUCCUUAUAUGGCUUAACCCAGGAUGUUACUAUACAAGAGGACUUGCUGUAUAAAGUUCUUUUCCUUGCUUUAUUUCUGUAAGUCGAAUUUAUAAUGUUUACUACUGCUAUCCGAAUUUGGGGAAGC
This is a long non-coding RNA of Glycine soja, 796 nucleotides long. RefSeq lists it as uncharacterized. NCBI's taxonomy places the organism in Eukaryota, Viridiplantae, Streptophyta, Magnoliopsida, Fabales, Fabaceae. The transcript is spliced from 2 exons. The record is from RefSeq and is a predicted model, not a curated record.